GAUGAACGCUGGCGGCGUGCCUAAUACAUGCAAGUCGAGCGAACGGACGAGAAUCUGGCUUCUCUGAUGUUAUCGGCGGACGGGUGAUUAACACGUGUAUAACCUACCUAUAGGACUGGGAUAACUUCGGGAAACCGGAGCUAAGACGGGAUGAUAUUUUGAACCGCAUGGUUCAAAAGUUAGAGACGGUCUUGCGGUCACUUAUAGAUGGAUCAGCGCUGCAUGAGCUAGUUGGUAAGGUAACGGCUUACCAAGGCAACGAUGCAUAGCCGACCUGAGAGGGUGAUUCGAUACACUGGAAGAGAGAAUGGUUCCACACUCUGACGCUAGGACGCAGCACGGACUCCUACGCAAUGGGGGAAUGGCUGACGGAGCAACGUCGCGUCAGUGCUGAUGGAGUCAGGCCCGGAAAGCGAUGUAAGCCGUGGAGAACAUAUGUGCAAGCAACUGUGAACAUAUUGACGGUACCUACUCAAAAAGCCCCGGCUAACUACGUG
Molecule: ribosomal RNA, 497 nt
Filed under: uncultured bacterium
Lineage: Bacteria
Description: partial 16S ribosomal RNA
Rfam family: Bacterial small subunit ribosomal RNA
Source: RNAcentral